CACACGACUCUCGGCAACGGAUAUCUCGGCUCUCGCAUCGAUGAAGAACGUAGCAAAAUGCGAUACCUGGUGUGAAUUGCAGAAUCCCGCGAACCAUCGAGUUUUUGAACGCAAGUUGCGCCCGAGGCCUUCUGGCCAAGGGCACGUCUGCCUGGGCGUCACG
RNAcentral lists this ribosomal RNA (163 nucleotides) under Cladoraphis spinosa. Its description in RNAcentral is "5.8S ribosomal RNA". It matches the Rfam family "5.8S ribosomal RNA". Rfam says of the family: 5.8S ribosomal RNA (5.8S rRNA) is a component of the large subunit of the eukaryotic ribosome. It is transcribed by RNA polymerase I as part of the 45S precursor that also contains 18S and 28S rRNA. Functionally, it is thought that 5.8S rRNA may be involved in ribosome translocation. Lineage: Eukaryota; Viridiplantae; Streptophyta; Magnoliopsida; Poales; Poaceae. The record is from RNAcentral.